Molecule: ribosomal RNA, 497 nt
Filed under: uncultured bacterium
Lineage: Bacteria
Description: partial 16S ribosomal RNA
Rfam family: Bacterial small subunit ribosomal RNA
Source: RNAcentral
GACGAACGCUGGCGGCGUGCCUAAUACAUGCAAGUAGAACGCUGAAGAGAGGAGCUUGCUCUUCUUGGAUGAGUUGCGAACGGGUGAGUAACGCGUAGGUAACCUGCCUGGUAGCGGGGGAUAACUAUUGGAAACGAUAGCUAAUACCGCAUAACAACAGUUGUUGCAUGACAGCUGUUUAAAAGAUGCAAUUGCAUCACUACCAGAUGGACCUGCGUUGUAUUAGCUAGUUGGUGAGGUAACGGCUCACCAAGGCGACGAUACAUAGCCGACCUGAGAGGGUGCUCGGCCACACUGGGACUGAGACACGGCCCAGACUCCUACGGGAGGCAGCAGUAGGGAAUCUUCGGCAAUGGGGGGAACCCUGACCGAGCAACGCCGCGUGAGUGAAGAAGGUUUUCGGAUCGUAAAGCUCUGUUGUAAGAGAAGAACGGGUGUGAGAGUGGAAAGUUCACACUGUGACGGUAUCUUACCAGAAAGGGACGGCUAACUACGUG